This 168-nucleotide ribosomal RNA is filed under the name Micrometrus aurora (reef perch). Its description in RNAcentral is "partial small subunit ribosomal RNA". Lineage: Eukaryota; Metazoa; Chordata; Actinopteri; Embiotocidae. The record is from RNAcentral.
CACCGCGGUUAUACGAGCGACCCAAGUUGAGAGACAACGGCGUAAAGGGUGGUUAAGAUGUUAACAAACUAAAGCCGAACGUUUUCAGGGCUGUUAUACGUUUCUGAAGAUAAGAAGUUCUACUACGAAAGUGGCUUUAUUAUUUCUGACCCCACGAAAGCUGGGGAA